RNAcentral lists this long non-coding RNA (521 nucleotides) under Pan troglodytes (chimpanzee). Its description in RNAcentral is "long non-coding RNA NONPTRT005239". Lineage: Eukaryota; Metazoa; Chordata; Mammalia; Primates; Hominidae. The record is from RNAcentral.
CCAGGCUGGAGUGCAGUUGUGUGAUCUUGGCUUACUGCAGCCUCCACCUCCUGGGCUCAAGUGAUCCUCCUGCCUCGGUCUCCCAAAGUGCUGGGAUUAAAGGCAUGAGCUACUACAUCCAGCCAAAAGCUACAUUUUCAAGACUAGAUAAAAAGGCUACAAGGUUCAUCUGCAAGUUUCUUCAAAUGGUUGCAAUGCUUACUGCAACCUCCAUCUCCUAGGCUCCAGUGAUCCUCCUGCCUCAGCCUCCCAAAGUGCUGGGAUUACAAGCAUGAGCAGUAGCUCAUUUUUGUCCAAAAGCUGCAUUUCCAAGACCAGGUAAAAAGGUAUUUGGCCAAAAGAGCAAGGUUUCACAUCUGCUGGCAUGGCUGAUGUGAAAUUUUCCAAUACAUUUUUCCAAUAUAUUUAUUGAAAAAAAAAGUGGACCAGGUGUGGUGGUUCAUGCCUGUGAUCCCAGCAAUUUGGGAGGCCAAGGUUGGGAGGGUUACUUGAGUCCUGGAGUUCAAGACCAGUCUGAGCAA